GUGCCAGCCGCCGCGGUAAUACGUAGGGGGCGAGCGUUGUCCGGAUUCAUUGGGCGUAAAGAGCUCGUAGGCGGUUUGGCAAGUCAGGUGUGAAAUCUCCGGGCUCAACUCGGAGAGGCCACCUGAUACUGCUAUGACUAGAGUCCGGUAGGGGACCAUGGAAUUCCUGGUGUAGCGGUGAAAUGCGCAGAUAUCAGGAGGAACACCGGUGGCGAAGGCGGUGGUCUGGGCCGGUACUGACGCUGAGGAGCGAAAGCGUGGGGAGCGAACAGGAUUAGAAACCCUGGUAGUCC
This 293-nucleotide ribosomal RNA is filed under the name uncultured bacterium. Its description in RNAcentral is "partial 16S ribosomal RNA". It matches the Rfam family "Bacterial small subunit ribosomal RNA", at positions 505 to 796 of the family's 1533-position model. The record is from RNAcentral.